AGCGAACGCUGGCGGCAGGCCUAACACAUGCAAGUCGAACGAACCUUUCGGGGUUAGUGGCGGACGGGUGAGUAACACGUGGGAACGUGCCUUUAGGUUCGGAAUAACUCAGGGAAACUUGUGCUAAUACCGAAUGUGCCCUUCGGGGGAAAGAUUUAUCGCCUUUAGAGCGGCCCGCGUCUGAUUAGCUAGUUGGUUGAGGUAAUGGCUCACCAAGGCGACGAUCAGUAGCUGGUCUGAGAGGAUGAUCAGCCACAUUGGGACUGAGACACGGCCCAAACUCCUACGGGAGGCAGCAGUGGGGAAUCUUGCGCAAUGGGCGAAAGCCUGACGCAGCCAUGCCGCGUGAAUGAUGAAGGUCUUAGGAUUGUAAAAUUCUUUCACCGGGGACGAUAAUGACGGUGCCCGGAGAAGAAGCCCCGGCUAACUUCGUG
This 434-nucleotide ribosomal RNA is filed under the name uncultured bacterium. RNAcentral's name for it is "partial 16S ribosomal RNA". It matches the Rfam family "Bacterial small subunit ribosomal RNA", at positions 29 to 507 of the family's 1533-position model. The record is from RNAcentral.